UUUGCUCUUUUAAAAGGUGUCCAGUGUGAGGUGCAGCUGGUGGAGUCUGGAAGAGACCUGGUGAAGCCUGGGGGGAUCCCUGAGACUCUCUGUGCAGCCUCCGGAUUCACCUUCAGUAGCUACUUUAUGAACUGGGUCCGCCAGACUCCAAGGAAGGGGCUGCAGAGGGUCGCAGAUAUUAGCAAUGAUGGAAGUAGCACAAGCUACACAGACUUUGUGAAGGGCCGAUUCACCAUCCCCAGAAACAAUGGCAAGAACAUGCUGUAUCUGCAGAUGACCAGCCUGAGAGCUGAGGACACAGCUGUGUAUUACUGGGUGAGAGACACAGGGAGGGGCCUCAGUGUGAGCCCAGAGACAAACCUCACUGUAGGACAGGAUCUGGACCACCAGGGGGUGCACAACACUCACUAAUUCUAUCUUUAGAAUUUAGCCAGGAGCAGCUGCAGAUGGUGGUUUUGAGCAGGUUUCCUGUCAGGGUCUGGGGCCUCCUCUCCAUAGAGCAGUUUCCCCGCAGGAAGCCUCUCUGGACACAUGAUUCUGUGCUUACUUCUUCACUCUCUGACUUAGAAAAUUUGUUCUAAUGGGAAAACAACUACACAAAAUAAUA
Molecule: non-coding RNA, 607 nt
Organism: Mustela erminea (ermine)
Lineage: Eukaryota; Metazoa; Chordata; Mammalia; Carnivora; Mustelidae
Source: the annotation of a RefSeq genome assembly